UACGGAGGGUGCGAGCGUUAUCCGGAAUCACUGGGCGUAAAGGGCGCGUAGGCGGUUUGUUAAGUCUGAUGUUAAAGACUGGGGCUCAACCCCGGCAUGGCGUUGGAUACUGGCAGGCUUGACGGUUGGAGAGGCGAGUGGAAUUGCCAGUGUAGCGGUGAAAUGCGUAGAUACUGGUAGGAACACCUAUUGCGAAGGCAGCUCGCUGGACAAUUCGUGACGCUGAGGCGCGAAAGCGUGGGGAGCAAACAGGAUUAGAUACCCG
RNAcentral lists this ribosomal RNA (265 nucleotides) under uncultured prokaryote. Its description in RNAcentral is "partial 16S ribosomal RNA". It matches the Rfam family "Bacterial small subunit ribosomal RNA", at positions 524 to 788 of the family's 1533-position model. The record is from RNAcentral.